UUGUUAGCAAGGUGCAGCUGCAGGGAAGCACCAGGGCUUGGCCUCUCCUGGCACACCAUGGCCUGGCACUGGCCAAAAGCACCCCUGGAGAAGCUGUCCCAUGGAAUCUGCCUGCAGUUAUUGCUCAGGGCCUCUCUGUUGGGCCAUGCAACAACUCCUGCCGUGAAAUUUCCUGCAACUCCAACAUAUUGCAGGGCAGCGGAGGGACAGGGAGGAGCUCUGUGCCUCGCUGAGCAGCUCGGAGGAACGGGAGCCAAAACCAGAGCCGAGCCAAAUGGCUCCUUUCUCUGCAACUCAUGACGAGCAAAUACUUUGAGGAAAGAACUAGGAAGAAUGGAACAUGAGGGAUGUCUGAUGAAUAGAUCCAGAAGAAGCUCUGGACUCAGCAGGGCCAUGGUUGCCCAUGGUACAUUGAAGACUAGCAGCACCAGAUCCAGGAUGCCAUGGGAGAUGUUCCCUUCUCCUCACUGCUCUUUUCUGUGCUGGUAGUGAAUGCUGGAAUUCUGGGAGAUGGUGAGGGCCAGGAAUGUGG
Molecule: long non-coding RNA, 532 nt
Organism: Passer domesticus (house sparrow)
Lineage: Eukaryota; Metazoa; Chordata; Aves; Passeriformes; Passeridae
Exons: 2
Source: RefSeq, a predicted model, not a curated record